Long non-coding RNA from Dreissena polymorpha, 925 nucleotides. RefSeq lists it as uncharacterized. The transcript has 2 exons. Lineage: Eukaryota; Metazoa; Mollusca; Bivalvia; Myida; Dreissenidae. The record is from RefSeq and is a predicted model, not a curated record.
AGGACUCUAAAAUCAAAAUUCAUUAAGUCAACAAUAUUGACGACUUAGUCAUACUGAUCUUACAGCUCGUAACGUUGACUCAUAAAUUCGUAUAAAAACAAAUUACAAGGUAUCGACGAUCUUAUAUUAGUUAAUAAGUGUAGCGCGAGGCCGACUUCAUGAGGCCGCCACCGAGCGCGACCUCACAAACAGAAAGUGCCUUCCUAAGUCCUAGAAAGGUCAUCUUCUGACCAAGUUUCAUGAAGAUAGGACAGUAAAUGUGGCCUCUAGAGUGUUAACACGAUUUUACUAAAGCUAUUUAAGGAAAAAUGCCCCGCCCCUUGGAAGCCAUGUUUUUCAAGCAAACAUAUUUAUUUUCGAAUUCAUCCAAGAUAUCAUUAAGACCAAUCUUCUGAGCGAAUUUCAUGAAGAUUGGACAAUAAAUGUGGCCUCUAGAGUGUUAACAAGGUUUUACUAUAGCCAUUUAUAGCCAUAUAAGGAAAAAUGCCCCGCCCCUGGUGGCCAUGUUUUUUAAGCAACCAAAACCAUUUUCGAACUCAUCCAAGAUAUCAUUGGGACAAAUCUUCUGACCAAGUUUCGUGAUGAUCGGAAAAUAAAUGUGACCUCUAGAGAGUUAACAAGGCAAAUGUUGACGCCUCAAAACGGACGACGGACAAAAGGCGAUCACAAAAGCUCACCAUGAACACUUGAGCUAAUAAAAAAUAGAAUGGAAAAAUAAUAAUACUGAACAUUGAGGCCAUGCUUAAUAAUGCAACCAAAAGGCAAGGCAGUAGAUUCAAAACAGAAAAAGUUAACUUAUAGUACCUACAAUCAUAUAUUAAAAUAAUCAACACUGUAUACUUGUAAGUAUAUAUUUAAUACCAAAUACGAACACAUAAAAAACAGUUACAUUGUAUUUUAUUGCUGAAAUAAAUAAUUAUAUGAA